UGGGGAAUAUUGCGCAAUGGGCGAAAGCCUGACGCAGCGACGCCGCGUGAGGGAUGAAGGUUCUCGGAUCGUAAACCUCUGUCAGAAGGGAAGAAAUUAUAUCAUGCUAAUCAGUGGUGUAUUGACGGUACCUUCAAAGGAAGCACCGGCUAACUCCGUGCCAGCAGCCGCGGUAAUACGGAGGGUGCGAGCGUUAAUCGGAAUUACUGGGCGUAAAGCGCACGUAGGCUGUAUGACAAGUCAAGGGUGAAAUGCCACGGCUCAACCGUGGAACUGCCUUUGAAACUGUCAAACUGGAGUAUGUGAGAGGGCGGCGGAAUUCCUGGUGUAGGAGUGAAAUCCGUAGAUAUCAGGAGGAACAUCAGUGGCGAAGGCGGCCGCCUGGCACAAAACUGACGCUGAGGUGCGAAAGCGUGGGUAGCAAACAGG
RNAcentral lists this ribosomal RNA (429 nucleotides) under uncultured bacterium. RNAcentral describes it as "bacterial SSU rRNA". It matches the Rfam family "Bacterial small subunit ribosomal RNA", at positions 355 to 776 of the family's 1533-position model. The record is from RNAcentral.